RNAcentral lists this transfer RNA (69 nucleotides) under Rattus norvegicus (Norway rat). It matches the Rfam family "tRNA". From Rfam's summary of the family: Transfer RNA (tRNA) molecules are approximately 80 nucleotides in length. Their secondary structure includes four short double-helical elements and three loops (D, anti-codon, and T loops). The record is from Rfam by way of RNAcentral. Lineage: Eukaryota; Metazoa; Chordata; Mammalia; Rodentia; Muridae.
GGGGAUUUAGCUCAGUGGUAGAGCGCUUGCCUAGCAAGCACAAGGCUCUGGGUUCAGUUCCCAGCUCCG